RNAcentral lists this ribosomal RNA (497 nucleotides) under uncultured bacterium. RNAcentral describes it as "partial 16S ribosomal RNA". It matches the Rfam family "Bacterial small subunit ribosomal RNA", at positions 28 to 507 of the family's 1533-position model. The record is from RNAcentral.
GAUGAACGCUGGCGGCGUGCCUAAUACAUGCAAGUCGAGCGAACAGACGAGGCGCUUGCUCCUCUGACGUUAGCGGCGGACGGGUGAGUAACACGUGGAUAACCUACCUAUAAGACUGGGAUAACUUCGGGAAACCGGAGCUAAUACCGGAUAAUAUAUUGAACCGCAUGGUUCAAUAGUGAAAGCCGGUUUUGCUGUCACUUAUAGAUGUAUCCGCGCCGCAUUAGCUAGUUGGUAAGGUAACGGCUUACCAAGGCAACGAUGCGUAGCCGACCUGAGAGGGUGAUCGGCCACACUGGAACUGAGACACGGUCCAGACUCCUACGGGAGGCAGCAGUAGGGAAUCUUCCGCAAUGGGCGAAAGCCUGACGGAGCAACGCCGCGUGAGUGAUGAAGGUCUUCGGAUCGUAAAACUCUGUUAUUAGGGAAGAACAAAUGUGUAAGUAACUAUGCACGUCUUGACGGUACCUAAUCAGAAAGCCACGGCUAACUACGUG